UACGGAGGAUGCAAGCGUUAUCCGGAAUUAUUGGGCGUAAAGCGUCCGCAGGUGGCUGUUCAAGUCUGCUGUCAAAGCGCAGAGCUUAACUCUGUACAGGCGGUGGAAACUGAAGAGCUAGAGUAUGGUAGGGGUAGAGGGAAUUCCCGGUGUAGCGGUGAAAUGCGUAGAUAUCGGGAAGAACACCAGUGGCGAAAGCGCUCUACUGGGCCAUAACUGACACUGAGGGACGAAAGCUAGGGGAGCGAAAGGG
RNAcentral lists this ribosomal RNA (253 nucleotides) under uncultured bacterium. RNAcentral describes it as "partial 16S ribosomal RNA". It matches the Rfam family "Bacterial small subunit ribosomal RNA", at positions 524 to 776 of the family's 1533-position model. The record is from RNAcentral.